Hypanus sabinus (Atlantic stingray) is the source of this 1009-nucleotide long non-coding RNA. RefSeq lists it as uncharacterized. The record is from RefSeq and is a predicted model, not a curated record. Lineage: Eukaryota; Metazoa; Chordata; Chondrichthyes; Myliobatiformes; Dasyatidae. The transcript is spliced from 2 exons.
CUGCAGAGUUAGAGCAGGAAAGGAACAUCAAAGUGGUUUGCCAUUGCCUUCAUCUGGGCAGUGUCUUUUCAAGACGGGUGAGCCCAGCCAGUAUCAAUACUCUUCAGAGAUUGUCUGCCUGGCAUCAGUGGUCGCAUAACCAGGACUUAUGAUCUGCACCAGCUGCUCAUAUGACCAUCCACCAUCUGCUCCCGUGGCUUCAUGUGACCUUGGUUGGAGGCUAAGCAGGUGCUACACCUUGCCCAAGGGUGACCUGCAGGCUAACAGAGGGAAGGAGCGCCUUGUACUUCACUUGGUAGAGAAGUAUCUCCACCCCACCACCCAAAAUCAUUGAUAGCUAAUAUAUAAUUUCAGGUGAUACCAUAGCAAUAUCUCUGUUGUAGAUUAAAAUUCCAUCUCCACACUGAGUCAGUAAGUACAGUGGAUAGCACUCUUGACAAGUCAGAAAUUGAAAGGUUUAUCAGUGCUACUCUAGAGAUUUGAGCAAAAAAAGGACUGCACUAAGACAUAAAAGUUCUUUGUCUCUUUCACCAGCUUUACCACAAGCUCUUCUGAGGCAAGAACAUCAUCCAGCGGGCUUGCUAUUUCAGAGUGGAGGGAUUAUUGGAAGAAAAAUAGAAAGUUCAACACUGUUGAAAUUUAGUGGUGAAUUAAUAAAUUCUUUUUUUGUCAGCGCACUGGUUAUGGUCCAGAGGCUCACAUUUCACAGCCACGUCAUUCAGCAGGCAGUGCCAAACAAAAUUCUCAGCACUGCUUCUCCCAGACAUUCAGCACUAGACCCAGUACUGGAAGCAUGAAUAAUAUCCGAGUCCACUGCACUCACAAACAAGUGGGUGAAGGAAUAUUGUCAUGUAUGGGGUGAAAGGUACCAUAGAGCCAAUGAUGUCCAAACACUCAGCUCAACAACUGCAGUAGGACAAGGUAGCUAGAGUGCCUAAGAAUUUUCGCACAGUACUGUCGUAAUUUUAUAUAUUCCACUGUGCUGCUGCUGCUAAAAAAAAAAAUCAAA